This 1306-nucleotide ribosomal RNA is filed under the name uncultured bacterium. Its description in RNAcentral is "bacterial SSU rRNA". It matches the Rfam family "Bacterial small subunit ribosomal RNA", at positions 28 to 1381 of the family's 1533-position model. The record is from RNAcentral.
AACGUACGCUGGCGGCACGCCUAACACAUGCAAGUCGAACGAAGUAGCAAUACUUAGUGGCAGACGGGUGAGUAACAUGUAGGUAUCUGCCCUUUGGCCUGGAAUAACACGAGGAAACUUGUGCUAAUACCGGAUAAGUCUUUACGGAGAAAGCUUUAUGCACCAUUGGAUGAGCCUGCACUUGAUUAGUUUGUUGGUGGGGUAAUGGCCUACCAAGACUGUGAUCAAUAGCUGAUUUGAGAGGAUGAUCAGCCACAUUGGGACUGAGACACGGCCCAAACUCCUACGGGAGGCAGCAGUGGGGAAUCUUGCACAAUGGAGGAAACUCUGAUGCAGCGAUGCCGCGUGAGUGAAGAAGGCCGUUGGGUUGUAAAGCUCUUUCGUCGGGGAAGAAGAUGACUGUACCCGAAUAAGAAGGUCCGGCUAACUUCGUGCCAGCAGCCGCGGUAAUACGAAGGGACCUAGCGUAGUUCGGAAUUACUGGGCUUAAAGAGUUCGUAGGUGGUUGAAAAAGUUAGUGGUGAAAUCCCAGAGCUUAACUCUGGAACUGCCAUUAAAACUUUUCAGCUAGAGUAUGAUAGAGGAAAGCAGAAUUUCUAGUGUAGAGGUGAAAUUCGUAGAUAUUAGAAAGAAUACCAAUUGCGAAGGCAGCUCUCUGGAUCAUUACUGACACUGAGGAACGAAAGCAUGGGUAGCGAAGAGGAUUAGAUACCCUCGUAGUCCAUGCCGUAAACGAUGUGUGUUAGACGUUGGAAAUUUAUUUUCAGUGUCGCAGGGAAACCGAUAAACACACCGCCUGGGGAGUACGACCGCAAGGUUAAAACUCAAAUGAAUUGACGGGGACCCGCACAAGUAGUGGAGCAUGUGGUUUAAUUCGAAGAUACGCGCAGAACCUUACCAACACUUGACAUGUUCGUCGCGACUCUAAGAGAUUAGAGUUUUCGGUUCGGCCGGACGAAACACAGGUGCUGCAUGGCUGUCGUCAGCUCGUGUCGUGAGAUGUUGGGUUAAGUCCCGCAACGAGCGCAACCCUCACUUUUAGUUGCCAUCAUUAAGUUGGGCACUCUGAAAGAACUGCCAGUGAUAAGCUGGAGGAAGGUGGGGAUGACGUCAAGUCCUCAUGGCCCUUACGUGUUGGGCUACACACGUGCUACAAUGGUAUCUACAACAGGAAGCAAGACUGCGAAGUUAAGCAAAUCCCUAAAAGAUACCUCAGUUCGGAUUGCACUCUGCAACUCGAGUGCAUGAAGCUGGAAUUACUAGUAAUCGUGGAUCAGCGUGCCACGGUGAAUGCGUUCCCGGGUCU